Molecule: ribosomal RNA, 2191 nt
Filed under: human gut metagenome
Description: bacterial LSU rRNA
Rfam family: Bacterial large subunit ribosomal RNA
Source: RNAcentral
CGGAGGAAGAGAAAGAAACAUCGAUUCCGUAAGUAGCGGCGAGCGAACGCGGAAGAGCCCAAACCGUGAUGCGUGCAUCGCGGGGUUCGGACUGCAUAAGGGAUUCAGUAACGGCAGGAGAACGGCUUUGGAACAGCCGGCCAGAGAGGGUGAGAGCCCCGUAUCCGAAGCCAGAGCUGACCCGGCAGGAUCCAGAGUACCACGGGACACGGGAAACCCUGUGGGAACGAGCGGAGACCACUCCGUAAGGCUAAAUACUACUCAGUGACCGAUAGCGUAUAGUACUGUGAAGGAAAGGUGAAAAGAACCCCGGGAGGGGAGUGAAAAGAACCUGAAACCUUGUGCUUACAAGCACACAAAGCACGUCAACGUGUGAUGUGGUACCUUUUGUAGAAUGGUCCGGCGAGUGAAUGUAACUGGCGAGGUUAAGUUCUUAAGGAACGGAGCCGAAGCGAAAGCGAGUCUGAAUAGGGCGUCUUAGUCAGUUGUAUUCGACCCGAAACCGGGUGACCUAUCCAUGUCCAGGAUGAAGUUAAGGUAAAACUUGAUGGAGGUCCGAACCCACGGUCGUUGAAAUGCCCGGGGAUGAGAUGUGGAUAGCGGAGAAAUUCCAAUCGAACCCGGAUAUAGCUGGUUCUCUCCGAAAUAGCUUUAGGGCUAGCCUCGACUGAACAUUACCGGAGGUAGAGCACUGAAUGGGCUAGGGGCCGAGAGGUUACUGAACCCUAUCAAACUUCAAAUGCCGGAAAAUGAUAGUCGGGAGUCAGACUGCGUGAGAUAAGUUUCGUAGUCGAAAGGGAAACAGCCCAGACCCACAGCUAAGGUCCCAAAGUACGGUUAAGUGGAAAAGGAUGUGGAGUUGCACAGACAACCAGGAUGUUGGCUUAGAAGCAGCCACUCAUUAAAAGAGUGCGUAAUAGCUCACUGGUCGAGUGACUCUGCGCCGAAAAUUUAACGGGGCUAAACUAUACACCGAAGCUUGGGAUACAUCUAAUGUAUGGUAGGAGAGCGUUCUGUAUGGGGAGAAGUCGUAGCGAAAGCGGCGGUGGACUAUACAGAAGUGAGAAUGCCGGAAUAAGUAGCGAGAAUUAAGUGAGAAUCUUAAUGGCCGAAAGUCUAAGGUUUUUGGAGGAAGGUUCGUCCGCUCCAAGUAAGUCGGGAGCUAAGGUCAGGCCGAAAGGCGUAGCCGAUGCACAUACGGUUGAUAUUCCGUAACCAUCUGUAAUUUAAGCAAAGGGACACUUCAAAAGGGUGUGACCCGGGCGUUGGUUGACCCGGGCGUAAGGGACCGAAAUUAGAGUAGGGAAGCACACUUAGCUGAAGGCGAGAAAAGCUUUGCGUAUAGAAACAGAUGCCCGUACCGCAAACCGACACAGGUGGACAGGAAGAGAAUUCUAAGGCCAGCGGGAGAAGGGUAGUUAAGGAACUCGGCAAAUUGACUCCGUAACUUCGGAAUAAGGAGUGCUCGAAAGAGCCGCAGAGAAUAGGCCCAGGCGACUGUUUAGCAAAAACACAGGUCUCUGCCAAAUCGAAAGAUGAAGUAUAGGGGCUGACACCUGCCCGGUGCCGGAAGGUUAAGAGGAGGAGUGAGAGCUCCGAAUUGAAGCCCCGGUAAACGGCGGCCGUAACUAUAACGGUCCUAAGGUAGCGAAAUUCCUUGUCGGGUAAGUUCCGACCCGCACGAAUGGUGUAACGAUCUGGGCACUGUCUCAACUACCCACCCGGCGAAAUUGUAGUACCGGUGAAGAUGCCGGUUACCUGCGGCAAGACGGAAAGACCCCAUGGAGCUUUACUGUAGCCUGAUAUUGGGUUUCGGAAAUCUAUGUACAGGAUAGGCGGGAGACUGGGAAACAUGAGCGUCAGCUUGUGUGGAGUCGAUGUUGGGAUACCGCCCUUAGGUUUCUGGAAUUCUAACCUGCGGCCGUGAAUCCGGUCGGGGGACAUUGUCAGGUGGGCAGUUUGACUGGGGCGGUCGCCUCCGAAAAGGUAACGGAGGCGCUCAAAGGUUAGCUCAGCACGGACGGAAACCGUGCCUCUGAGUGUAAACGCAAAAGCUAGCCUAACUGCGAGGGUGACGGCCCGAGCAGUAACGAAAGUUGGAGUUAGUGAUCCGGCGGUAUGUGAAUGGAAAUGCCGUCGCUCAACGGAUAAAAGCUACCCUGGGGAUAACAGGCUGAUCUCCCCCAAGAGU